Molecule: ribosomal RNA, 505 nt
Filed under: uncultured bacterium
Lineage: Bacteria
Description: partial 16S ribosomal RNA
Rfam family: Bacterial small subunit ribosomal RNA
Source: RNAcentral
GACGAACGCUGGCGGCGUGCCUAAUACAUGCAAGUCGAACGCACAGUUUAUACCGUAGCUUGCUACACCAUAGACUGUGAGUUGCGAACGGGUGAGUAACGCGUAGGUAACCUGCCUGGUAGCGGGGGAUAACUAUUGGAAACGAUAGCUAAUACCGCAUAAUAUUGAUUAUUGCAUGGUAAUUGAUUGAAAGAUGCUAUUGCAUCACUACCAGAUGGACCUGCGUUGUAUUAGCUAGUAGGGGAGGUAACGGCGCACCUAGGCGACGUUACAUAGCCGACCUGAGUGGGUGGUCGGCCAAACUGGGACUGAGACCCGGCCCAGACUCCUACGGGGGGGAGCAGUAGGGAAUCGUCGGCAAUGGACGAAAAUCUGACCGAACUACGCCGCAUGAGUAAAGAAGGUUUUCGGAUCGUGAAGCUCGGUUGUAGGAGAAGAAAGGGUGUGAGAGUGUGAAGUUCACACUGUGACGGUAACUUACCAGAAAGGGACGGCUAACUACGUG